AUUGAAACCUGAUUUUAACCCUGUACAGUUGUUGCAAACUCACAUAAUUUUAUUUGAUUUUGUUCCUGUAAAUACACAAGUUUUUGUUUAUUUUUAACUUGGCGUGUACUGGUUGACACACCCGCACAGUAUAUCUGUGUUAUGGAAAUUUCAACUGCAGAUUAACCACAAAAUAUAGAAGAAGAAGUACAAUAAACACUAGACAACAGGAAUGACAGGAUAUAUCUUCUGGGGGAUGGAUGGUAACUGAAUCAAUACAAAUAGCCUCAUUGAAUUUGAAAAAGCUGCAAAUGAUAUCAGUAACAAAAGAUUGUUAGUGUGCAGUGUGCAGACAGUGGUUAAACAGAAGUUAACAUUCUAUCAGUUUUGGGAUUUUACAAUCAGCUAGAGGAAAUAAUAGGAGAAAAAGGGACCUGUGUGGUAAAAACUUCCUAAAAGUCGUCCUUUAUGUGUUCAACUUUUUCUUUUGGCUGACAGCCCGGUUAGCUUUCCUAGCAUUAGGGUUAUAUAUCAAGUUCCAGAAGCAUACCUAUAUCAAUCUGCCAGGGAACAGUACUUUCCCUUUGGCAACAUACUUGCUACUAGGAACAGGAGCCUUUAUUAUCUUGUCAGGAAUCAUUAGUUGUACUGGGACAUGUAUAGAAAAUAGAUGUUUUAUGGUUAUGGUUGGAAGAGACUGAUGAACUAUACAUAUCUGGGAUACAGAAUCAAUGAAACAUCGUCAGUACUGAAAGGUCAACAUCAAAGAGGGGUCUGUGCUGUAGACUUCUCAGGUAUUUAUUGUUUGUUCAUUUUCAAUCUUAAUUCAAAAAAUGUAUGCAGAUUGAAACAUGACAGGAUAUUUUUGGUGGUUAACCUUGUAAUGAUUUUGACUGGAACAAAAGAAUGGAUGUCAGGAAAAUCAGGAAAAUAAGAUUAUAAGUACAGCUAGUAUGGGAAUAAAACCUGGAAUUUUAUCACCAGAUCUGGUUGGACUUGGAUAUUUGUUGAUUUGUUACUGCCUGAAAAUUAUCUACUACAGUGAUACUUAAUUUAUUGCCACCUUUUGGAACAUGUAAAAUACUAUCGACAAGUCAGGAUGGCAGUAUAUCAAAGUAGAAAUUUAUAUAAAAACUGCACACAUUUGAGAAAAGUUGACUCAAGGAUUAUUCUGUAAAUUCGUAUUGGCAUGCGUAGGCACCGGACACAUCCAUCUAGAACACCAAUACCAAUAUUUAAUAUUCAAAUAGUUCCAGUGUAAUGCUGUGUGUUAUUCAAGAAAUAGAGUUAAUUAAUUGUCUAUGCAAUUUUAUACCCUUAAAGGACACUUGCUGUGACAAAACUCCUGCAACUUUUAUUGUAUUGUACUUUCAAUAUUCGCAUUGCGCACUCGCAUGCAAAAUCGAUUGUUAUAUAUAGUAAUCCAGCGUACAUCCAAACGUGUAGAGGUGAUUUUAACUUAUAAACUACUAUAAAUAAUAAAAACGAAUGGCAAUACAACUAUAUCAAAGUAAGAAGAUAUAUAUUCCUUGAUAAUUAUCAGAUGUAGGCUUAUCAGACUUUUCUUCCCCGAUCUUCCUGAUUCGCAGCGGGAGCUUUGCGUGUAUAUAGCCUUUGAUUUUCAUACAGUGUGAACAAUGUAUUUCUUCCACUGA
Molecule: long non-coding RNA, 1634 nt
Organism: Mytilus californianus (California mussel)
Lineage: Eukaryota; Metazoa; Mollusca; Bivalvia; Mytilida; Mytilidae
Exons: 4
Source: RefSeq, a predicted model, not a curated record